RNAcentral lists this ribosomal RNA (253 nucleotides) under uncultured bacterium. RNAcentral's name for it is "partial 16S ribosomal RNA". It matches the Rfam family "Bacterial small subunit ribosomal RNA", at positions 524 to 776 of the family's 1533-position model. The record is from RNAcentral.
UACGUAGGGGGCAAGCGUUGUCCGGAAUCAUUGGGCGUAAAGAGCGUGUAGGCGGCUCGAUAAGUCUGCUGUGAAAGUCCAGGGCUCAACCCUGGAAGGCCGGUGGAAACUGUCGGGCUAGAGUCCGGAAGAGGCGAGUGGAAUUCCCGGUGUAGCGGUGAAAUGCGCAGAUAUCAGGAGGAACACCGGUGGCGAAGGCGGCAUCCUGGACCGGCAUUGACGCUGAGGCGCGAAAGCCAGGGGAGCAAACGGG